GCCCCGGUAGCUCAGCAGGUAGAGCGGCGGCCUCGUAAGCCGCAGGUCGCGGGUUCAAAUCCCGCCCGGGGCU
This 73-nucleotide transfer RNA is filed under the name Nitrososphaeria archaeon. RNAcentral describes it as "tRNA-Thr". It matches the Rfam family "tRNA". From Rfam's summary of the family: Transfer RNA (tRNA) molecules are approximately 80 nucleotides in length. Their secondary structure includes four short double-helical elements and three loops (D, anti-codon, and T loops). Lineage: Archaea; Thermoproteati; Nitrososphaerota; Nitrososphaeria. The record is from RNAcentral.